Molecule: non-coding RNA, 45 nt
Organism: Schistosoma mansoni
Lineage: Eukaryota; Metazoa; Platyhelminthes; Trematoda; Strigeidida; Schistosomatidae
Source: Rfam
GACUAGAUGAAGAGUCCCAAAUAGGACGAUACGCGCGUCCUGGGU